RNA transcript from Stegostoma tigrinum, 1811 nucleotides. It is a transcript of the gene named probable G-protein coupled receptor 139, with no coding region annotated. Lineage: Eukaryota; Metazoa; Chordata; Chondrichthyes; Orectolobiformes; Stegostomatidae. The record is from RefSeq and is a predicted model, not a curated record. The transcript has 2 exons.
GACAGCCGUGGCACUCACAGAGAUCUAGGACACCAGAGAGAGAGAGAGAGAGAGGAGGACGACUCACAGUUUACAACUGGAGAGUAAUAGAUUAGAAUGAUGCAACAAUGUAUUGGAAUCUGGCAAUGAUGGAUUGGAACAAUACAACACUGGAUUGGAAUCGAAGAACAAACGAUUGGAAUGUUACAACAACAGAUUGGAAUGGAUUGACAAUGCUUCAAAAUGAGAGAAAAGUCGAUGGAAAUGGUAAAACAUUGGGAAGGGGUUUCAUUGAGAUGUUGAAUUUUCUUUCUGCUACUUUUGAUCGGAAGCCACUGAAAAUCCGCAUUCUAAAGGUCCUUCGGAUUAUGCAAUUCAUUUAUUAUCCGAUUCUUGCUAUUGUUGCAGUGCCUGGUCUGGCUGGCAGAUGUGCAACCUUGGCUACCCUGGUGUCUUUUUGAGCACCCACUGACUCAGUAUCCAUUCCUCCACUGACUUCAUGUCUAUGUGGUUGAGGUUUAAUACAACGAUCCUUGCUUGCAUUUACAAACACCAUUGUUUGACCACUGGUUUCAUCACCUGUUUACGUGAGGGUAGCAUCUCUUAGAUCUUUCAUGGAAAAGCUUGAAUUGAACUUAGCCAAUUGAAGCUAAGUUUCUGUGAUUUCCAUUGUGGGGCAAAAUGUAUUGCAACAGUCAUGAACACAUCAGUUCACAGCAAGUUUUCCCUCAUUUAUAUUUUCAUUGCAUGGUCAAUUUAUGGAAUAACAAUCAUUGGAUCCACCAAAUGAACUGAACACUGAUGCAACCAUCUGUGACAGGAACGGAUGCAAAAUGCCAUUUGUACAUCUCAAUCAGUGCUCAAUAAAACUGGUAACAUAGUUCCACGCACAAACUAUAACUUCAUUGUUUGCUUUCCUCACAGCCAACGUGAUAACAAUUGUGAUCCUGUCAAAAGAAAAGUGUGGUCUCUCUCGAUGUGUCUCUCACUACCUGGUAGCCAUGGCAAUAGCGGAUCUCAUGGUCAUUAUCAUUGACCUCAUAUUGCGACGCAUUCCAUUUGCCUAUGUGGAGGAGCAUCAUUUCCUAGAAGGCAUCCCCGCAUGUAAUAUCCACGCUGUCCUGCUUUUUGCAGCCACUGACUGUUCUGUCUGGUUCACCGUCACUUUCACCUUUGAUCGAUUUGUAGCCAUUUGUUGCCCAAAUCUGAGAAGUAAAUAUUGCAAUGUGAAAACAGCAGCCGUGGUUCUGGCAACAGUGACUGGAUUGAGCUGUUUGAAGAACAUUUUCUGGUAUUUUCUGUUUACACAUCGGUAUUAUAACAGAAGCAGACACUGGUUAUGUUGGGUGAAAAAUGUACUGAAAUUUUCUCCAGUCUGGGCAGCAAUUGAGUUCUGUCAUUACACACUAACACCAGGAGUUGCCUUUAUUCUCAUUCUGCUUUUCAAUGUUUUAACGGUUAGACACAUUUCAGUGACCAGCAGAUCCCGCAGGAGGCUCCACCAUCAGAACAACAGAAAGGGCACCAAAGACCCAGUGAUGAAGAGUCGGAAGAAUUCUAUCAUUUUAUUGUUUCUUAUCUCAGGGAAUUUCAUUCUAUUAUGGUCAGUAUCAAUGGUGUAUUCCAUAAAUUGGAAAAUGAAACUUUUGGGAUAUGGGUCUCUGUAUCUGCCUCUUUUUGUAAUGGAACUGGGCUACAUGCUCCAGAUGCUGAGUUGCUGCACAAACACUGUGAUUUAUGUCAGCACACAUUCAAAGUUCAGAGAGCAUUUGAAGAAAAUUGUGCACUAUCCCUUUACUCCAAUUGUGAAAUGUAUUAAACAUUGAGUCUGA